RNAcentral lists this ribosomal RNA (797 nucleotides) under uncultured Glomus. RNAcentral describes it as "SSU rRNA". It matches the Rfam family "Eukaryotic small subunit ribosomal RNA", at positions 314 to 1114 of the family's 1831-position model. Lineage: Eukaryota; Fungi; Glomeromycota; Glomeromycetes; Glomerales; Glomeraceae. The record is from RNAcentral.
AUCAACUUUCGAUGGUAGGAUAGAGGCCUACCAUGGUGGUAACGGGUAACGGGGUGUUAGGGCACGACACCGGAGAGGGAGCCUGAGAAACGGCUACCACAUCCAAGGAUGGCAGCAGGCGCGCAAAUUACCCAAUCCCGACACGGGGAGGUAGUGACAAUAAAUAACAAUACGGGGUUCUUUAGGAUCUCGUAAUUGGAAUGAGUACAACUUAAAUCUCUUAACGAGGAACAAUUGGAGGGCAAGUCUGGUGCCAGCAGCCGCGGUAAUUCCAGCUCCAAUAGCGUAUAUUAAAGUUGUUGCAGUUAAAAAGCUCGUAGUUGAAUUUCGGGGUUAGUAGGUUGGUCAUGCCUCUGGUAUGUACUGAUCUCACUGAUUCCUCCUUCCUUAUGAACCGUAAUGCCAUUAAUUUGGUGUUGCGGGGAAUUUGGACUGUUACUUUGAAAAAAUUAGAGUGUUUAAAGCAGGCUAACGCUUGAAUACAUUAGCAUGGAAUAAUGAAAUAGGACGUUCGAUCUUAUUUUGUUGGUUUCUAGGAUUGACGUAAUGAUUAAUAGGGAUAGUUGGGGGCAUUAGUAUUCAAUUGUCAGAGGUGAAAUUCUUGGAUUUAUUGAAGACUAACUACUGCGAAAGCAUUUGCCAAGGAUGUUUUCAUUAAUCAAGAACGAAAGUUAGUGGAUCGAAGACGAUCAGAUACCGUCGUAGUCUUAACCAGAAACUAUGCCGACUAGGGAUCGGAUGAUGUUAUUUUUAAUGACUCAUUCGGCGCCUUACGGGAAACCAAAGUGUUUGGGUUC